This 74-nucleotide transfer RNA is filed under the name Planctomycetota bacterium. RNAcentral describes it as "Planctomycetes bacterium (anaerobic digester metagenome) tRNA-Arg". It matches the Rfam family "tRNA". Rfam says of the family: Transfer RNA (tRNA) molecules are approximately 80 nucleotides in length. Their secondary structure includes four short double-helical elements and three loops (D, anti-codon, and T loops). The record is from RNAcentral. Lineage: Bacteria; Pseudomonadati; Planctomycetota.
GCGCCCGUAGCUCAACAGGAUAGAGCAGCGGUCUUCUAAACCGCAGGUUGGAGGUUCGAGCCCUCCCGGGCGUG